UACAGAGGAUGCAAGCGUUAUCCGGAUUUACUGGGCGUAAAGAGCGCGCAGGCGGUCGUUCAAGUCGCGUGUGAAAGCCCCCGGCUCAACUGGGGAGGGUCACGCGAUACUGAUCGACUCGAAGGCAGGAGAGGGUAGUGGAAUUCCCGGUGUAGUGGUGAAAUGCGUAGAUAUCGGGAGGAACACCAGUGGCGAAGGCGACUACCUGGCCUGUUCUUGACGCUGAGGCGCGAAAGCUAGGGGAGCAAACGGG
This 253-nucleotide ribosomal RNA is filed under the name uncultured bacterium. RNAcentral describes it as "partial 16S ribosomal RNA". It matches the Rfam family "Bacterial small subunit ribosomal RNA", at positions 524 to 776 of the family's 1533-position model. The record is from RNAcentral.